RNAcentral lists this ribosomal RNA (496 nucleotides) under uncultured bacterium. RNAcentral describes it as "partial 16S ribosomal RNA". It matches the Rfam family "Bacterial small subunit ribosomal RNA", at positions 28 to 506 of the family's 1533-position model. The record is from RNAcentral.
GAUGAACGCUGGCGGCGUGCCUAAUACAUGCGAGUCGAGCGAACAGACGAGGAGCUUGCUCCUCUGACGUUAGCGGCGGACGGGUGAGUAACACGUGGAUAACCUACCUAUAAGACUGGGAUAACUUCGGGAAACCGGAGCUAAUACCGGAUAAUAUAUUGAACCGCAUGGUUCAAUAGUGAAAGACGGUUUUGCUGUCACUUAUCGAUGGAUCCGCGCCGCAUUAGCUAGUUGGUAAGGUAACGGCUUACCAAGGCGACGAUGCGUAGCCGACCUGAGAGGGUGAUCGGCCACACUGGAACUGAGACACGGUCCAGACUCCUACGGGAGGCAGCAGUAGGGAAGCUUCCGCAAUGGGCGAAAGCCUGACGGAGCAACGCCGCGUGAGUGAUGAAGGUCUUCGGAUCGUAAAACGCUGUUAUUAGGGAAGAACAAAUGUGUAAGUAACUAUGCACGUCUGGACGGUACCUAAUCAGAAAGCCACGGCUAACUACGU